RNAcentral lists this ribosomal RNA (510 nucleotides) under uncultured bacterium. RNAcentral describes it as "partial 16S ribosomal RNA". It matches the Rfam family "Bacterial small subunit ribosomal RNA", at positions 28 to 507 of the family's 1533-position model. The record is from RNAcentral.
GACGAACGCUGGCGGCGUGCUUAACACAUGCCAGUCGAACGAAGAGCGAUGGACGCUUGCUUCUAUCAAUCUUAGUGGCGAACGGGUGAGUAACGCGUAAUCAACCUGCCCUUCAGAGGGGGACAACAGUUGGAAACGACUGCUAAUACCGCAUACGAUCUAAUCUCGGCAUCGAGGAUAGAUGAAAGGUGGCCUCUACAUGUAAGCUAUCACUGAAGGAGGGGAUUGCGUCUGAUUAGCUAGUUGGAGGGGUAACGGCCCACCAAGGCGAUGAUCAGUAGCCGGUCUGAGAGGAUGAACGGCCACAUUGGGACUGAGACACGGCCCAGACUCCUACGGGAGGCAGCAGUGGGGAAUCUUCCGCAAUGGACGAAAGUCUGACGGAGCAACGCCGCGUGAGGGAUGACGGCCUUCGGGUUGUAAAGCUCUGUUAAUCGGGACGAAAGGCCUUCUUGCGAACAGUUAGAAGGAUUGACGGUACCGGAAGAGAAAGCCACGGCUAACUACGUG